Bos taurus (domestic cattle) is the source of this 614-nucleotide long non-coding RNA. The record is from Ensembl. NCBI's taxonomy places the organism in Eukaryota, Metazoa, Chordata, Mammalia, Artiodactyla, Bovidae.
AAUACAGGAGACAUGUGUUCGAUCUCUGGGUCAGGAAUUUCCCCUGGAGAAGGACGUGGCAACCCACUCCAAUAUUCUUGCCUGGGAAAUCCCAUGGACAGAGGAGCCUGGCGGGCUACAGUCCAUGCGGUCACAAAAAGGUGAAAUGACAUCUCAACACCAUUCAGAGAGAAUUUUCCAAGACACAACCAACAUGCUUUCUUCUGAUACUAAUCCCAGUGUUUGAUAGGAAUGUUUGCUUUCAGUCAAGAUAUAGACCACUUCCAUAGAAAUGUCCACUGACCUUUCAUCAUUAAUCUUCUACUCCUACCACCGGCUCCAGAUGACCACUGAUCUCCUUUUUAUCAUCACUACAGGGAGAAGAGCUGGCUUAGACAGAUGUAGAACCGCCCAGUCUACUUAAGGCAUACCAACUGAAUAGCUUAGUCCAAAACAUCAGUUCUAUAGAUUAAAAACUUGAAAAAGGCCACAUGCAUUCUGACAUUUUUUUCCCCAAUGAAGAAACUAAGAUGGAAAAGGAAAAGUUUGUUCCUAAGUCUGUAGUUCUAAUCCUCAACAACCAAGGAGUUAUGGUGUGUGGGGUUGGGGUUCUCUUAAAAUAAAAAUUAAAUAAA